CCUACGGGUGGCAGCAGUAGGGAAUCUUCCACAAUGGGCGAAAGCCUGAUGGAGCAACGCCGCGUGGGUGAAGAAGGUCUUCGGAUCGUAAAACCCUGUUGUUAGAGAAGAAAGUGCGUGAGAGUAACUGUUCACGUUUCGACGGUAUCUAACCAGAAAGCCACGGCUAACUACGUGCCAGCAGCCGCGGUAAUACGUAGGUGGCAAGCGUUAUCCGGAUUUAUUUGGCGUAAAGGGAACGCAGGCGGUCUGUUAAGUCUGAUGUGAAAGCCUUCGGCUUAACCGGGGUAGUGCAUUGGAAACUGGGAGAAUUGAGUGCAGAAGAGGAGAGUGGAACUCCAUGUGUAGCGGUGAAAUGCGUAGAUAUAUGGAAGAACACCAGUGGCGAAAGCGGCUCUCUGGUCUGUAACUGACGCUGAGGUUCGAAAGCGUGGGUAGCAAACAGGAUUAGAUACCCCUGUAGUC
This 465-nucleotide ribosomal RNA is filed under the name uncultured bacterium. Its description in RNAcentral is "partial 16S ribosomal RNA". It matches the Rfam family "Bacterial small subunit ribosomal RNA", at positions 338 to 795 of the family's 1533-position model. The record is from RNAcentral.